GCUUAUAUAGUUUAAUAAAAAUAUUGGUCUUGUAAAUCAAAGUUAAGUUCUACUUUAUAAACA
Molecule: transfer RNA, 63 nt
Filed under: Dilar sp. YW-2016
Lineage: Eukaryota; Metazoa; Arthropoda; Insecta; Neuroptera; Dilaridae
Description: tRNA-Thr
Rfam family: tRNA
About the family: Transfer RNA (tRNA) molecules are approximately 80 nucleotides in length. Their secondary structure includes four short double-helical elements and three loops (D, anti-codon, and T loops). Further hydrogen bonds mediate the characteristic L-shaped molecular structure. tRNAs have two regions of fundamental functional importance: the anti-codon, which is responsible for specific mRNA codon recognition, and the 3' end, to which the tRNAs corresponding amino acid is attached (by aminoacyl-tRNA synthetases). tRNAs cope with the degeneracy of the genetic code in two manners: having more than one tRNA (with a specific anti-codon) for a particular amino acid; and 'wobble' base-pairing, i.e. permitting non-standard base-pairing at the 3rd anti-codon position.
Source: RNAcentral